Molecule: transfer RNA, 74 nt
Filed under: Candidatus Cloacimonadota bacterium
Lineage: Bacteria; Pseudomonadati; Candidatus Cloacimonadota
Description: tRNA-Cys
Rfam family: tRNA
About the family: Transfer RNA (tRNA) molecules are approximately 80 nucleotides in length. Their secondary structure includes four short double-helical elements and three loops (D, anti-codon, and T loops). Further hydrogen bonds mediate the characteristic L-shaped molecular structure. tRNAs have two regions of fundamental functional importance: the anti-codon, which is responsible for specific mRNA codon recognition, and the 3' end, to which the tRNAs corresponding amino acid is attached (by aminoacyl-tRNA synthetases). tRNAs cope with the degeneracy of the genetic code in two manners: having more than one tRNA (with a specific anti-codon) for a particular amino acid; and 'wobble' base-pairing, i.e. permitting non-standard base-pairing at the 3rd anti-codon position.
Source: RNAcentral
GGCGACAUCGCCAAGUGGUAAGGCAAAGGUCUGCAAAAUCUUCAUCCCCGGUUCGAAUCCGGGUGUCGCCUCCA